GAUGAACGCUGGCGGCGUGCCUAAUACAUGCAAGUCGAGCGAACAGAUAAGGAGCUUGCUCCUUUGACGUUAGCGGCGGACGGGUGAGUAACACGUGGGUAACCUACCUAUAAGACUGGGAUAACUUCGGGAAACCGGAGCUAAUACCGGAUAACAUUUGGAACCGCAUGGUUCUAAAGUGAAAGAUGGUUUUGCUAUCACUUAUAGAUGGACCCGCGCCGUAUUAGCUAGUUGGUAAGGUAACGGCUUACCAAGGCAACGAUACGUAGCCGACCUGAGAGGCGGAUCGGCCACACUGGAACUGAGCCACGGUCCAGACUCCUACGGGAGGCAGCAGUAGGGAAUCUUCCGCAAUGGGCGAAAGCCUGACGGAGCAACGCCGCGUGAGUGAUGAAGGGGUUCGGCUCGUAAAACUCUGUUAUUAGGGAAGAACAAACGUGUAAGUAACUGUGCACGUCUUGACGGUACCUAAUCAGAAAGCCACGGCUAACUACGUG
RNAcentral lists this ribosomal RNA (497 nucleotides) under uncultured bacterium. RNAcentral describes it as "partial 16S ribosomal RNA". It matches the Rfam family "Bacterial small subunit ribosomal RNA", at positions 28 to 507 of the family's 1533-position model. The record is from RNAcentral.